RNAcentral lists this ribosomal RNA (222 nucleotides) under uncultured bacterium. Its description in RNAcentral is "partial 16S ribosomal RNA". It matches the Rfam family "Bacterial small subunit ribosomal RNA", at positions 524 to 745 of the family's 1533-position model. The record is from RNAcentral.
UACGUAGGGUGCAAGCGUUGUCCGGAAUUAUUGGGCGUAAAGAGCUCGUAGGCGGUCUGUCGCGUCUGCUGUGAAAACUCAGGGCUUAACCCUGAGCUUGCAGUGGGUACGGGCAGACUAGAGUGCGGUAGGGGAGACUGGAAUUCCUGGUGUAGCGGUGAAAUGCGCAGAUAUCAGGAGGAACACCGGUGGCGAAGGCGGGUCUCUGGGACGGUACUGACG